Molecule: ribosomal RNA, 894 nt
Filed under: Triticum aestivum (bread wheat)
Lineage: Eukaryota; Viridiplantae; Streptophyta; Magnoliopsida; Poales; Poaceae
Description: partial small subunit ribosomal RNA
Source: RNAcentral
AUGUAUAAGAUGAGAAAAUUAUGGUGUACUUCAUAUCUUGAGGGGCGUUGUUUCCUAGGAUUGAGCAACAAUCAGCGGAGUGAGAGUUUAAACUCGAUGAUACAUAUGCAUCUUGAGGCUAAGAUGAUGUUGUUUCAAAUGCUAGAGCACUAUGAGCGUUGCCUUGCGUCGCGCCGCUUGAACGAGGCUCUCCAAGACAUCGAGGCCUUGCAGUUCGUUCCAUUCACAGAUGAAAAUGCUUCAAGUCUUGAGAAACACGCCACAAAAGUUUUCACUGCUGAUGUGUUUAAGUUGGUAUUAUGGAGCAUAAAUGUUGUAAGCAAAUGUCAGAUCAGACAGGUACUUGAUGCAGCAGAACUUACCACAUACAUUGUGUCUAAGAAGGAAAGAAUGGAUAAAAAGAUCAAAGUGCGCACAGAGUCGAAGGAAGGUCUGCUUCAUAGGAUCAAUUCUUCUUGCCGUAAAUUGGAAUGCGCAGGCACACCAUGUUCCCACAUAUUUUACAUAUUGAGAAUUUUACAAGAAGAAACACUGCCUGGGUGUUAUGUUCCCACCAAGUGGACAAUGAGUGCAAAAUGUGCAUUCGCACCGACCAAAAAGAGCAAGAUGUAUGAAUACUUUGCAACCCUGCAAAGGUACCGUAAGUUAAGGAAUUUUAGUCACGCAUCAUGUUUCAAGGCAUGCCACUCUGAUGAGGUGUUUCAUCAUCAAAAGAGGGUUUUGGAAGGACAAGAUGUUUGCAAGGGACCAACUAUUCAACAAGCUGAUAGCAAGGGAUCAACUAAUGCUCAGAGUAACAGCAUUUGGUUUGGCCCGUUGAUGCCACAAUCGGCUAACCUUGAUGGUGAAGAUUUCGAUAAGGUUCUAGAUCCCGAGCAUGUUCCAGAUCGAUAA